UCAUAUCUGAUAACUGUUACAAUAAUUGCCAAAACUACAGUUUAUAUUAGUGUCAUGAUUUGCACUUGAGUUUUGUAUCGACAGGGCCACUGCCAAUUUAGGCAUGUUUUAAUUAUGACACUUAAACAAUUGUAUAUGUACAUCGAUAAAAGUUUUUGCAAUCAUGGAAACAUAAGUGAAUUGCAGACAGCAUUCUUGUUUUACGAAUGUAAAAUGGCUGGAGUAGUGAUGUCACUAGCUAGAUUAAUUUUCAUUUGACCUCCCCCACAGAAAGACACAGCACAUCAUUAUAUCGUUGGCUCCGCCCACUGGUGUUCAGUCUAAAGUAGUAGUUGUUGACAAUCAUAAAGUUGUAAAAACAGUAAGAUUGUGAUGUCAGACAAACAUUGUGCUGUUGCUGGCUGUGGGAAAUUAGUGUCUUUGUAAGGGUCGCAAAUAAUUUGAAAAUAUUUAUGUUUCAAAAUAUUGCCCCCCUACCAUGAACUAAACUGGACUGUCGCAGAGACCAAGUGUAGUAAGGUACGGAGCGCUCACACUAGUCACACCAAACUUUGGAGGUUUCUGAAUUGAUGUCAGAUGCAAAGCAGAAGUUUAUUUUCUUCCAGUUUGGCUUCAUUGUGGAAAAAUGCUGGAAACUAAAAUGCAGAACAUGAUGCACGAUGGGAUGCACAAAGUGAUAUUUGGACGCAGCCUCAGUCUGUCAGAUCAAAGAGACAUACAGAAUUCAUAGAGCAGUGGGACUCCAUGAACAGAGUUGAGAACCACUGGUGUAACUCAUUAUGCUUACCUGACUCAUGCAGAAUUCUGGCCUGGUGUUUGGUCCACCCUUUCUCUGGCUUGUGUCUCCGUCUCCAUCAUCAUUAUACUCUUGUCAGUGUUAUAGUAUUGUCGUCUGCGUACCAGGACUUUGUUUCUCAGCUGUCCCUUCUCCUUCAAGCUACAUUUUUGUCAAGCUGCAACAAGUUGGAAUACAUAAUUAUUAACGUUUAAGGAUUUUGAUGUAUGAAAUAUGUAACAAAAGCAAAAAAUGUACAGACAUUCUAUUAAGAAAUUACCUUUUUGUUGUUUGUUUACUGACCUUUCAACCAUAUUGCAUUUAAAAUUGAUCAUCAUACCUUUGGUCUACUGUUAACAGACUACUGUAGAAAACUUUGAAUAAAGUAAAAAAAAAGAGAAAAAAUUAUAAAUGCUGAAUGUGUCUCAUCUUAAAUACAUUGUUGUUGUUUUUUUCAUUGAAUUUGGAUGUUUUGAUGAUUUAAGGAAAAUUUACGUAGCAUAUAUAUUGAUGUUUUAAUUCAGAGUUUGUUAAUGACACUUAAUCAUUAACAAACAUUUAAAAAGGUUUAUUACAAUACUAAUUGAUAAUAUUAAAUUAAUGUAAUAAUCUUGUUUUGUUACACCCUAAAUCACUGAGCGCACAAACGCUACCCCAGUUACAAGCAUGGAUGGUUGACUUCAUGCAGACAUGCGCAGACAUCGAAGUACCGCGAGAGUGAUUCAAAAGCCCACGAAACAGUGUAAUCACGCGGUACUGUGACGUCAUACUGGUUAACGCUAAGCCACGUGAAGCGCCCGGACACAAGGGCUGCACUAAUCUUUGGGCUGGAGUAGCCUGUGGCUUACGUGUCUCGUCGCAGAACGAUUUAUUUCUCUUUUUCACCUCGAUCUUUGGCCUCUUGUGAUUUAACAAAACCAACAUGUGAAGUUACAACGCUGACGAAGGAGUUUAAUCAGUAACGUUAGAGUGUGUCCUGGUAAACGUGUGCUUGGAAACAUGCAGAUUACAGUAUUUACAGAGCCGACCUUGAGGCUAUUUUUUUUGCAUGACAUCCACUGAUGGAUAAUCUGUUUACCUAAAAACAGCACUUCAGGAGAAACCUGCCUGUGAUCUGCUAAGAUGCACAGAUUCAACUCUGGCCCAUUGUCAUUCCAACACCUUAUCUGCCAUCAGUUUCGUUUAGUGUCGAUCUAUUGCAAAAGUUCUUAUAAACUUUAAAUGAGACUUUGUGUUAAGCAGGGGUUUCCAAACUUUUAAUUUCACAACAUAUUAAGCCCAGGAUACACAGCAGGAUUUUUUGCAAUCCAAUAGACCUUAUCACACUGUGUGACAAGAAUUGUUUAAACUUUAGCAGUAGACUGUCGAUGAAGACACCUAUUGCAUCUGAGGCUGCGACAUCCGUCAUCAGCAUGCGCUAGUGGUAAACAAAUACAGGUAUGCAGGUCGUAGAAGCAAACACGUUGUUGAUGUGCGUUGAUCAUGCUGAACUUCUUACACUGUCAUAAAACUAUCGUAGGUGUCUUUGGUCCCAGGACUGGGAAAAGAGGUCUUUAAACCUCUCACACUGUAUGAGAUAGGACCACCAAUUAAGAGCCACGAUCACAGAAAUCUCCACGAUUGUUUCACGAUUGGUAAUCUUUCAUCUGGGACAGCCAAAAAUCGUGCCGUGUAUUAUGGGCUUUAGACAUGUGUAAUCUUAUAGUAUAUCAAAACCAUUGCUAAUAAUUAAUUGGACAAACCAUCACUACAAUGCAACACUCGCUAUCUUACGGUGCGACCCACAAGUGGGUCUUCACCCACAGCUUAAAAACCCUGAGUAUGAGUAAGAGUAUGUUGUAUUGUAAUUAAAGUCACAUCUAAGUGUUAUGGAGCAGUUUGUCAUUAUAUUCACAGUAUUACAUGGUUCUUUCAGCAGUUUCUACGUUACAAUGCUCUUAAAGUGUCCUGAUCAGCUUUGGGUCUUGUGAAGUAAUGUAAUGAGAAUGUGAUCAAUAGCUUUGCAGUAUUUUUGGUUAAACAUUUUAUUCAAAUUUGGUAAACAAUCUAGUCAAUAUAAUUCAUGCUGUGAUGCUGGAUUAAACCUGGUCAAAUGAA
Misgurnus anguillicaudatus (oriental weatherfish) is the source of this 2872-nucleotide non-coding RNA. NCBI's taxonomy places the organism in Eukaryota, Metazoa, Chordata, Actinopteri, Cypriniformes, Cobitidae. The record is from RefSeq and is a predicted model, not a curated record.